RNAcentral lists this small RNA (125 nucleotides) under Marmota monax (woodchuck). The record is from RNAcentral. Lineage: Eukaryota; Metazoa; Chordata; Mammalia; Rodentia; Sciuridae.
GCUGGGCACUGUGGCUCAUGCCUGUAAUCUCAGCAGCUUAGGAGGCUGAGGCAGGAGGAUCGUGAGUUCAAAGCCAGCCUCAGCAACCAAGAGGCGCUAAGCAACUCAGUGAGACUCUGUCUCUA